UACGAAUGGGGCAAGCGUUGUUCGGAAUCACUGGGCUUAAAGCGUGCGCAGGCGGAUUUGCAAGUCAGAAGUGAAAUCCCGGGGCUUAACCCCGGAAUUGCUUUUGAAACUGCGAAUCUAGAAUCCCGGAGAGGUUAGGAGAAUUCCGAGUGUAGAGGUGAAAUUCGCAGAUAUUCGGAGGAAUACCAGUGGCGUAGGCGCCUAACUGGACGGGCAUUGACGCUCAGGCACGAAAGCGUGGGGAGCAAACAGG
RNAcentral lists this ribosomal RNA (253 nucleotides) under uncultured bacterium. Its description in RNAcentral is "partial 16S ribosomal RNA". It matches the Rfam family "Bacterial small subunit ribosomal RNA", at positions 524 to 776 of the family's 1533-position model. The record is from RNAcentral.